This 73-nucleotide transfer RNA is filed under the name Dallia pectoralis (Alaska blackfish). Its description in RNAcentral is "tRNA-Thr". Lineage: Eukaryota; Metazoa; Chordata; Actinopteri; Esociformes; Umbridae. The record is from RNAcentral.
GGGUUGCUAGCUCAGUGGUAGAGUGCAUGCUUUGUAUGUACGAUGUCCUGGGUUCAAUCCCCACUUCUGGUUA